RNAcentral lists this Y RNA (115 nucleotides) under Prolemur simus (greater bamboo lemur). RNAcentral's name for it is "Y RNA (ENSPSMG00000003187.1)". It matches the Rfam family "Y RNA". Rfam says of the family: Y RNAs are components of the Ro ribonucleoprotein particle (Ro RNP), in association with Ro60 and La proteins. The record is from Rfam by way of RNAcentral. Lineage: Eukaryota; Metazoa; Chordata; Mammalia; Primates; Lemuridae.
GGCUGGUCUGAAGGCAGUGAGUUAUCAUCUCACUUGAUUGUUCACAGUCAGUUACAGAUUGAGCUCCUUGUUCUACCCAUUCCCCUCUCUCACAAUUGCACUUCACGAGUCUUAA